RNAcentral lists this ribosomal RNA (305 nucleotides) under uncultured bacterium. RNAcentral describes it as "bacterial SSU rRNA". It matches the Rfam family "Bacterial small subunit ribosomal RNA", at positions 335 to 657 of the family's 1533-position model. The record is from RNAcentral.
AACCUACGGGGGGCAGCAGUCGGGAAUAUUGCGCAAUGGAGGAAACUCUGACGCAGUGACGCCGCGUGCAGGAAGAAGGUUUUCGGAUUGUAAACUGCUUUAGACAGGGAAGAAAAAAGACAGUACCUGUAGAAUAAGCUCCGGCUAACUACGUGCCAGCAGCCGCGGUAAUACGUAGGGAGCGAGCGUUAUCCGGAUUUAUUGGGUGUAAAGGGUGCGUAGACGGGAAAUUAAGUUAGUUGUGAAAUCCCUCGGCUCAACUGAGGAACUGCAACUAAAACUGAUUUUCUUGAGUGCAGGAGAGG